CUUAACUAUAAAGCGAGGCACUGAAAAUGCCUAAAUGGGUUACACCAACCCCAUAAACA
Molecule: transfer RNA, 59 nt
Filed under: Elasmotherium sibiricum
Lineage: Eukaryota; Metazoa; Chordata; Mammalia; Perissodactyla; Rhinocerotidae
Description: partial tRNA-Phe
Source: RNAcentral